UUUAAUUGGAAUCUUUUUGUAGUUCAGUGCUAUCUAAAUAGAGAAAGACUUUUUUUCUCUUGAAUUUCUGUUGGAUCUCAGUUUUUGAACACCCAAAUCCAUUAGGAUAAUUUGAAGAUCCCAGCUGAUACGCAGUCUAACAGAAAUGAUUUUGCUCUGCAACCCCUUUGCAUGUAACUAAUCCAGAAAAAUGCUGUGUGUGGACAAGCCCGCAGAGUGUAAGAUCCAAGAGGGCAAAGCUAGUCAGACGUUCACUAUUUGUGUAUUGGAACUCGCACGUUGAGGCGUGACUUCUGUGAAAAUCAGUAGCAUGGCAUACUAAAUGUCAGCACUUGAAGAGAAGAAGUACAGCUCAAGCUCAUGGGCUGUGCCUGCCGGCUGUGCUUGCCUGGGCUGUGCAGCUGUGCUGCCCAAGGCUGUGACGCAGGGGUGGAAGGAAGUCGAUGAGCCGGAACAGGAGAGAAGAGGCAAUGGCAACACUUCCGGGAACAGGAAGGCUGUCUGA
Molecule: long non-coding RNA, 505 nt
Filed under: Struthio camelus australis
Lineage: Eukaryota; Metazoa; Chordata; Aves; Struthioniformes; Struthionidae
Description: lncRNA (ENSSCUG00000006508.1)
Source: RNAcentral